GAUGAACGCUGGCGGCGUGCUUAACACAUGCAAGUCGAACGGAAAGGCCCAAGCUUGCUUGGGUACUCGAGUGGCGAACGGGUGCGGAACACGUGGGCGAUCUGCCCUGCACUUCGGGAUAAGCCUAGGAAACUGGGCCUAAUACCGGAUAGGACCAGACUUUGGGUGGUGUGGUGGAAAGCUUUUCGGUGUGGGCUGAGCUCGCGGCCUAUCAGCUAGUUGGUGGGGUAAUGGGCUACGAAGGCGCCGGCGGGUAGACCGCCUCAGAGGGUGGACGGCGACACUGGGACUGAGGGGCGGCCGAGAUGCGUACGGGAGGAAGAAGGGGGGAAGACUGAUCCAGGCGCGCCAGCCUGAUGAAGAGAGGCUGCGGGGUGGAAGACGGCUUUCGGGGUGAAAAAUCCUUUCGGUAGGAACGAAGCGUUAUGUGACGGUACCUGGAGAAGAAGCACCGGCUAACUACGUG
Molecule: ribosomal RNA, 466 nt
Filed under: uncultured bacterium
Lineage: Bacteria
Description: partial 16S ribosomal RNA
Rfam family: Bacterial small subunit ribosomal RNA
Source: RNAcentral